This 317-nucleotide long non-coding RNA is filed under the name Ananas comosus (pineapple). RNAcentral's name for it is "long non-coding RNA (ACOM_LNC014247)". The record is from RNAcentral. Lineage: Eukaryota; Viridiplantae; Streptophyta; Magnoliopsida; Poales; Bromeliaceae.
UAGUAUUAUAUAACCUUAAUAUAUAAAGGGCGUAUUUGGUUGGGGUAUUAUGUCAGAAUUACAGAUAAUUCUGUCAAGAUUAUUGUGUUUGAUUCAUCCGGUCUGUAAUCUGCUCGAUAAUAUAAUAUAUUAUAAUUACAAAUGGUGCAAGAUUAUUGCGAAAAUAUUAUCUAGCGCGAAGGUGGGUAUCUCGUAUUACUAAUAAUGAAUAAUCUUGCAUGUUAUGUAAAGCUAUAAAUUUAUCCCUCCAACACUCAAAUUCUUUUAAUACGUCAUUUAUAUAUAUAUUCCUCUCUUUCGAACUCUCCUAUUUUACU